RNAcentral lists this ribosomal RNA (248 nucleotides) under Shigella flexneri. Its description in RNAcentral is "partial 23S ribosomal RNA". It matches the Rfam family "Bacterial large subunit ribosomal RNA", at positions 1103 to 1349 of the family's 2925-position model. Lineage: Bacteria; Pseudomonadati; Pseudomonadota; Gammaproteobacteria; Enterobacterales; Enterobacteriaceae. The record is from RNAcentral.
GGAUUAGAAGCAGCUAUCAUUUAAAGAAAGCGUAAUAGCUCACUGGUCGAGUCGGCCUGCGCGGAAGAUGUAACGGGGCUAAACCAUGCACCGAAGCUGCGGCAGCGACGCUUAUGCGUUGUUGGGUAGGGGAGCGUUCUGUAAGCCUGUGAAGGUGUGCUGUGAGGUAUGCUGGAGGUAUCAGAAGUGCGAAUGCUGACAUAAGUACGGAUAAAGUGGGGGAAAAGCCCGCCCGCCGGAAGACCAAG